This 27-nucleotide non-coding RNA is filed under the name Homo sapiens (human). The record is from RNAcentral. Lineage: Eukaryota; Metazoa; Chordata; Mammalia; Primates; Hominidae.
UCAUGUCAGAUCACAGCAACAAGUAAC